RNAcentral lists this ribosomal RNA (253 nucleotides) under uncultured bacterium. RNAcentral describes it as "partial 16S ribosomal RNA". It matches the Rfam family "Bacterial small subunit ribosomal RNA", at positions 524 to 776 of the family's 1533-position model. The record is from RNAcentral.
UACGUAGGGAGCAAGCGUUGUCCGGAUUCACUGGGUGUAAAGGGUGCGCAGGCGGAUUCGUAAGUCAGAGGGGAAAUCUCACGGCUUAACCGUGAAACUGCCUUUGAUACUGCAGAUCUUGAGUUUGGGAGAGGUUGAUGGAAUUCCAGGUGUAGCGGUGAAAUGCGUAGAUAUCUGGAAGAACACCAGUGGCGAAGGCGGUCAACUGGCCCAUAACCGACGCUCAGGCACGAAAGCGUGGGGAUCAAACAGG